AUUUUUCUUUCCAAAAUGGUUGAUUACUAUCUUCUUUAAGCAUGACUCUAGACAUGAAAACAUCUUUGUACCACCUAAAAUCGCUUAGGGUUAUACAUCUUAAGUUACUGAGUUGGUCAUGAAUCCUAGAUGUGACAUUACUAGGUGUCCCUAUGAAAUGUUCUAUGAUAGUGAAAAGUAAUGUGUUGACCACAUCUGGGACUCCUCUUCUGAUACAUUCAUCGAAAAUAGGUGUUCCGUCUUCAUCUCUUUUGACUGUAUUUUUUAUUGCAUUUCUGAAUUGUUCAGUAAGAUAUUUUUCCCACCAGGAAUGGAGGUUCCUGUAAAUCCAGUGACCAAAAUGUCGACAACUUGGGUUGGACUAAGGUUAUGAUUGGUAAUAUAACUAUUAGCAACUAUGAAGAUGGGUUGUAAUUUGUUCAAAAGUUCUUGUUCUGAUAAUCUAUCUAUGUUCCAUUCAUAGAGUUUAUCAGCCGAGACCGAGAAUUGGUUUUGGAUGUUUCUUUCCUCAAAUUGAAUAUCCGGAGAUGUUGGCCUUGGAUACCAAUUUUUUGUAAGAGUUGUCAGAUUGACUCUUUUGUUUGUGAUUCAUUUUAGUUCAAGAUUUUGAAAAGCUUCUUCUACUUU
RNAcentral lists this long non-coding RNA (627 nucleotides) under Malus domestica (apple). RNAcentral's name for it is "long non-coding RNA (MDOM_LNC004598)". The record is from RNAcentral. Lineage: Eukaryota; Viridiplantae; Streptophyta; Magnoliopsida; Rosales; Rosaceae.